RNAcentral lists this long non-coding RNA (3830 nucleotides) under Homo sapiens (human). RNAcentral describes it as "HSALNT0369734". The record is from RNAcentral. Lineage: Eukaryota; Metazoa; Chordata; Mammalia; Primates; Hominidae.
GGGAGCUAAACAAUGGGUACAUGUGAACAUACAGAGGGAAAUAAUAGACAUUGGAGACUUCAAAAAGUGGGAGGGUAGGAGGGGGUGAGGGUUGCAAAACUACAUAUUGGGUACAAUGUUCACUCUUUGGGUGACGGGUACACUGAAAGCCCAGACUUCACCACUUCACAUACAAUAUAUGCAUGUGAGAAACUUGUACUCCCUAAAUAUAAAUAAAUAAAUAAAUAAAUAUUAUAACCUCAGAGAAAUAUAAAAAGAUAUUAUAUCCACAAAACAAAUCAAACAAGAAUAAGAUGCUAUUUUUUAAAGAGACCAUGAGAAAUAUAUGAAAGGAUUCUUUCUGAUUGACCAGAAUUUUUUAAGUAGGUAGAAUUAGAAACAUAAAGUUGUAGAAAUUGCCCAGAAAUUAGAUCGAAAUAACAGAGAUGGAAAAUACAACAAAUGGGGGGAAAAAACACAAUUAUAGGAUUAUACACAGGAGAUCAGAGAUCUGAAUUAUUGUUUCAGAAAAAAUAAAUUGAGAGGAAAAAUAUCAAUAAUACAAGAAAAGGUACCACAUAAAUGAAAGAUUAUACACAUUAAAACCUUCAGCAUGACAGCAAAUAUCUCAGAGUGACUUAAUGCCAUACACUGAAGCAUGGAGUUUGCUAGUAAAGAAUUACAAAUACUUACUGACCAAAGAUAGUCAUGAGCUCAACUGCUUUAUGGUAAAAUAAUUAGCAAUUGAGUCUUCCUGCAAUUGAGGAUGUAAUCAGUCAUGAGACCACAUCAUGCCAAUUUUCAUGACCAGUUGAGUUCAGAAACUUUGUUUCUUUGUGGUUCAUAGAAGUAUUACUCCUAGAUAAGAAGACUACUGUCUUUCGCUUUGAGACGGGAGUCUCUUUUAGAACUCCAAACAUCAAAUGUUCAAGUCUGAAAGCUCAUAACUGUCCAAAAGGAGUUACCCACUAAGUGACUUGAAUUACGCCUAGAAUUCAUUUCUCUAUCUGUUCAAUUUUCAUCCCCCAUGAGAAUCUUCAAUAAUGCUAGAGAAAUAUCUUCAACAACAGCAGCGUGAUGACUUGCAAACAUUUACUGAGUAGUUCCCAUGGAGGCAUGAAAAUACACUGGAAAGCAGGCUCAUCAGAUUACAGGGAGAGAUGAGCAAAGCAAUUUAUUUAUUUAAACUUUUUAUAUGAAAAAUUUCAAAUAUAUUUUGAAAUUUCAAAAUUCAAAAAAGAAAAAAGAAUAUAAUAAACUCCAUGUACUCUGCUUCAAUAAUUGUCAACUCACAGUCAAACUUGUUUUAUUUACACCCCCAUCUAAUUCCAUUCCCCCCCACACCACUGGAUUAUUUUGAAGCAAAACCAAGCCAUCACAUCAUUUCAUCUUAUGUAUAUCUUCAUAUGUAUAUGUAUAUAUGAAGAUAUACAUGAAUUUAUACAUGAAGAUGAAAUGAAUAUAUAUAUAGGAAUGAAUAUAUAUGAAGAUGAAUAUAUUUGAUAUAUACAUAUAUAAUCAGAAAUAAGAACUUUUCCUUAAAUCUAAGCACAAUUCAUUAUCAUAAUUAGAGGUGAUUAACAAUAAUAUAUAAUAUUACUAACUAUUCAAUCACAUGUGCAUGUGUGUGUGUAUGUUUUGGAAACACUAUAGGUUAAAACAUAGUUGAUUGUUUUAAUUCUUGUAGUUAUUAUUAUUUUAUUGAGGCUCACAUCAUCUCAUCUUUGCCUAGAAAAAGGCUUCCCUAGCUGGCUCCAAAGUGUUUUAGACAUAGCCCCAAAAGUCACUGCUAGCUCUCUUGCCCUUCAGUAUGAUAAAUUAUUCCAGGUUCAUGUUACACAAUUCCUGCCCCAGAUCUGUGAUCAGUUCUCGCCCAAAGAUCCCAGGUUCCUUUUAGUGCUCACAGUCUGAGCACUAGAUUUUGAACCUAGUAAAUGAACCCAGAGAUACUCAUUUUACCUACCUUGUCAUUAUUGCUAAGUCUUUUCAGUCAAUAGAGCCAGGGAAUUUAUAUUUUUACAUUAAAAUACAUCACAAUUUCAAUUAAUAAUUACAAUAUAAUUUAAAGACUAGAAGGUUUCUUUUUGGCUCUGUUUUUGUUUUCUGAGACAAGUUCUGGCCAUCACCUAGGCUAGAGUGCAGUGGCCCAAUUACAGCUCACUGCAACCUUGAAAUCCUGGGCUCAAGCGAUCUUUCUGCCUUGGCCUUCUGAGUAGCUGGAACUACAGGCAUGCACUACCAUGCCCAGCCAUUUAAAAAAAAAAUCUCUUUUGUAGAAAUGGGGUCUUGCUGUGUUGCCUAGGCUAGUCCCAAACUCCUGGGCUCAAGCAAUCCUCCCACCUUGGCCUCCCAAAGUGUUGGGAUUAUAGGUGUGAGCCACCACAGCUGGCCAAGACUACAAGGUUUUUACUUAAACGUUUUUUCUCUUAAAUCUAAAUUACCUUUCUUCCAUACCAAAAAUCCUAGUUCCUGAUACCAACAUAAUUUCACUUGCUUUAUCCCAUAAUGCACACAACAGUCUCAAGAAGAACGAGAGAGAGAGACAGAGAGAGAGAAAGAGAGAGAGAGAAAAGAGAAAGAGAGGGAGGGAGGGAAGAAAGGAAGGAAAGAAGGAAAGCAGGAAGGCAGGCAGGCAGAUGUAAACAGUAACAACACUAUCAUCAAUAAUAAUUUUAAAAAACAAUGUAAAAUUGUUUCACAAUUCUUUUUCUUAGGAGAUAUCUACAUACUGUAUCAUUUGAAAUCAUUCCUCUCUAUAGUUGCCAAGAAACAGAUGAAAUGCAAACUUCACCUUCAAACUGAGAGAACAAGGUCUGCAAAGAUGGAACAACUUCUCCCUUCUAAGAAAAAUAAGGGAAAUCGUUUACUGGCCCAGAAGACCUCACGAUGGCAAAUUCAAUCAGAUCCUCAUUAACCAGAUCAAAAUGAGGCCUGACAGAGUCUUCAUUAGAUCUACAAAAUCCUGUUCGUUUUAGCUCUGAGUCUCCUGACUUGUCCGUGUCAUCAUAAAUUGGUUGUUUUGAAGUCAGAGAGGACAAAGUGCUUGCAGAUGAUGGUCACCCUGCCUGACCUAUAAGGACAAGGUUCUGUUAGAAAAAAUGAAACAGUGCAGCAGUGGCAAGGCCUGGCCAAAGAAAUAGGUUUGCUAACCGGCAAGAAACAGAGAAAAGAAAAACCCAGUUAUUUAAAAAUACUGACCAAAAUACUAACAACUACAAAGACAUUGUCCCAGUCCCAUCACGGAAACCAAUGUAAACUUCUCUUGUGAAGCUGAAUUACAGGUCACUUAAGUUCUAUUACAUACAUUUUACAUUCCCAGUCAGAAAAAUGGCAUCCUCUAUAUCUGAAAAAAUUCAUCUAACCCCAGAUGAAGUCUUCUUUUUUUUUUUAUAAUGGAAUUAAAUUCUGUCACUUUUUUUAGCAGUGGUGCCAGCGAGACCAGCCACUGAAAUAAGCAGAGUUAAUGGCCAUUGAGUUAACGGACUUGAGAGGGGCCAAAAAGCCGGCUUGCCAAUGUGCCCGUGGCUUCCACCAUAAAGUCACUCCAAUGAAUGGGGCACUGCAUUUCCAAAAUUCUCCUGUCACAAAUGCUAAUGUUGACCUAUCACAGUGCCCAGGCCAUCACAGACACUCAAUGUUUAUUGAAUGAAUAAAAGAAUGAUUGUUGCCUGUGAAUGAUAAUAAGUUUUGAUUAUAUUGGUUAGAUUCUAUUCCAAAAAUAUGUAAGUAUCUGGAACAUAUUAACUCACUUGCUCUCACUAUAUGUGGUUAUGAAAUAGGUUCUCAGAUUGGCCCUUUGCCAACAAGCCCAAGCCAGCUCUUAAAGAAAUGGAACACUGGAAAGGAAAGCG